UGGGGAAUUUUGGACAAUGGGGGAAACCCUGAUCCAGCCAUCCCGCGUGUGCGAUGAAGGCCUUCGGGUUGUAAAGCACUUUUGGCAGGAAAGAAACGUCAUGGGUUAAUACCCCGUGAAACUGACGGUACCUGCAGAAUAAGCACCGGCUAACUACGUGCCAGCAGACGCGGUAAUACGUAGGGUGCAAGCGUUAAUCGGAAUUACUGGGCGUAAAGCGUGCGCAGGCGGUUCGGAAAGAAAGAUGUGAAAUCCCAGAGCUCAACUUGGGAACUGCAUUUUUAACUACCAGACUAGAAUGUGUCAGAGGGAGGGGGAAAUACUCGUGUAGCAGUGAAAUGCGAACGUAUGCGGAGGAACACCGAUGGCGAAGGCAGCCUCCUGGGAUAACACUGACGCUAAUGCACGAAAGCGUGGGGAGCAAACAGG
This 429-nucleotide ribosomal RNA is filed under the name Acidobacteriota bacterium. Its description in RNAcentral is "Acidobacteria bacterium partial 16S ribosomal RNA". It matches the Rfam family "Bacterial small subunit ribosomal RNA", at positions 355 to 776 of the family's 1533-position model. Lineage: Bacteria; Pseudomonadati; Acidobacteriota. The record is from RNAcentral.